This 65-nucleotide transfer RNA is filed under the name Gryllotalpa unispina. Its description in RNAcentral is "tRNA-Pro". Lineage: Eukaryota; Metazoa; Arthropoda; Insecta; Orthoptera; Gryllotalpidae. The record is from RNAcentral. RNAcentral also lists the same sequence under 1 other name.
CAGAGAAUAGUUUAAUAUAAAAUGUUAAUUUUGGGGAUUAAUGAUGGAGGUAACUCUUUCUCUGA